This 425-nucleotide ribosomal RNA is filed under the name uncultured bacterium. RNAcentral's name for it is "partial 16S ribosomal RNA". It matches the Rfam family "Bacterial small subunit ribosomal RNA", at positions 354 to 796 of the family's 1533-position model. The record is from RNAcentral.
GUGAGGAAUUUUGCGCAAUGGGGGCAACCCUGACGCAGCGACGCCGCGUGGAGGACGAAGUCUUUCGGGAUGUAAACUCCUGUCAGUGGGGACGAUAAUGACGGUACCCACAGAGGAAGCACCGGCUAACUCCGUGCCAGCAGCCGCGGUAAGACGGAGGGUGCAAGCGUUGUUCGGAAUUACUAGGCGUAAAGCGUAUGUAGGCGGCAAGUUAAGUUCAAUGUUAAAGCCCACGGCUCAACCGAGGAGAUGCAUUGAAUACUGGCUAGCUAGAGGGUGUUAGAGGAAGACGGAAUUCCCAGUGUAGCGGUGAAAUGCGUAGAUAUUGGGAGGAACAUCGGUAGCGAAAGCGGUCUUCUGGGACAUACCUGACGCUGAGGUACGAAAGCGUGGGGAGCAAACGGGAUUAGAAACCCUAGUAGUCC